GCGGGUUUAGCCCAAUCGGUAGAGGCAACGGACUUAAAAUCCGUCCUGUAUGGGUUCGAGUCCCAUAACCCGCACCA
RNAcentral lists this transfer RNA (77 nucleotides) under Mesorhizobium sp. LHD-90. RNAcentral's name for it is "tRNA-Leu". It matches the Rfam family "tRNA". From Rfam's summary of the family: Transfer RNA (tRNA) molecules are approximately 80 nucleotides in length. Their secondary structure includes four short double-helical elements and three loops (D, anti-codon, and T loops). Lineage: Bacteria; Pseudomonadati; Pseudomonadota; Alphaproteobacteria; Hyphomicrobiales; Phyllobacteriaceae. The record is from RNAcentral.